UUACUGGAUUGCUAGGUUAACUUUUAAAGUUGCCAGCUUUUGCUAAAGAAAAGCCUGAAAUGGAGAAAUGGCAGUGCAGCGGAGGCAGAGCUAGGGAAUUAGGGCAGAGCCCAGGGAGAGGGUCGAGUUAAGUAAGUAGAGCAGGAUCAUCUUCCACCAACAAUCAACUGACUUAAGAUAAACAGACACCCACUGGCUUCGCAUUGCUAUAGUAUGGCCAACUUCCUGGUAUCGGAUCUCCGCGCAAGUGCAGCCCCCAAGAAGUGGCAUCAGCUGUGACCUGGAAGUCGGUUAUUUUCAAUACAUUGGAAGAUAAACUAAUUGUGGAUCUCCUGUACAAACAAACCCAGCCUUAACAACAAUGUAUUAAUUGUGACCAGCAAAGUGAAAAUUGUAUCAAUCACGAAUAAAAUUCAAUUACAAGCCUUGAUCCAGCA
Callorhinchus milii (elephant shark) is the source of this 437-nucleotide long non-coding RNA. RefSeq lists it as uncharacterized. The transcript has 2 exons. The record is from RefSeq and is a predicted model, not a curated record. NCBI's taxonomy places the organism in Eukaryota, Metazoa, Chordata, Chondrichthyes, Chimaeriformes, Callorhinchidae.